CCGCCUCUCGCCCCUUCCCCGGUCCCAGAUCUGUGUCCACGGGCGUUUCUAGGGUUUGGGGUCUGCGCGAUCUGGGGGUCGGUUUUGGGCGAUGGGGCGAUAUAGGGGAGGGCCGCGCCUUCGGCGAUCUAGUUCGCCCGGGGUGAUGGGAAUGUUCAGCUGGGGUCAGCGUGUUUCGGUUAGGGAUUGUGGAUUCGAUGUAAGGUGGUGUGAUGAAUGCUAUCACCCGACGUUAGUAUUGAGGUCAAAUGUUUGUUAUGCGAUCCUACAAAGGGACGGGCUGGGCUUUCUGUUUGCGCGAGGUUGUGAGGUAAUGAUCAGGUAUUUUCCUUGUUUCCGUUGGUCGUCGGCUGGCACGGGCAAGUUGGAGCAGACCUUCUUGGAUGGGUCAAUUUGGUGUAAUCCACCACAUAAAUGGGGUCAGCGUGUUUCAGUUAGGGAUUGUGGAUUCGAUGUAAGGUGGUGUGAUGAAUGCUAUCACCCGACGUUAGUAUUGAGGUCAAAUGUUUGUUAUGCGAUCCUACAAAGGGACGGGCUGGGCUUUCUGUUUGCGCGAGGUUGUGAGGUAAUGAUCAGGUAUUUUCCUUGUUUCCGUUGGUCGUCGGCUGGCACGGGCAAGUUGGAGCAGACCUUCUUGGAUGGGUCAAUUUGGUGUAAUCCACCACAUAAAUGGGGUCAGCGUGUUUCAGUUAGGGAUUGUGGAUUCGAUGUAAGGUGGUGUGAUGAAUGCUAUCACCCGACGUUAGUAUUGAGGUCAAAUGUUUGUGAUGCGAUCCUACAAAGGGACGGGCUCGGCUUUCUGUUUGCGCGAGGUUGUGAGGUAAUGAUCAGGUAUUUUCCUUGUUUUCGUUGGUCGUCGGCUGGCACGGGCAAGUUGGAGCAGACAUUCUUGGAUGGGUCAAUUUGGUGUAAUCCACCACAUAAAUGGGUGUUGGUCGACUUCAGCUGCUUAACCGAUGAGUACAACUUGGAGCAUUUGAGAUCUCUGAAGACAAAUGAUUGCUGCUGAUAAUGAUUGCAGUUAUUUUGGGGUUUAGUGGAUGUACAGGAGUUGCUGUAAUUUCAGAGCAUCCAAGUUUGACAUCUUUAGGCUGUAAAAAUGCAUGCUUGCCUGCUUGACUUCCUUUUAUGGACUUCUUUCUGUUGGUUUUUUCCCGUGAGUGAGGAUUUUGGGUCUCAUUUGGGAUUCCUUGUACAGUUAUUUUCUCAGAAUAAUCUCUACCUCAUGUCAAUGAUUGCAUAAGCAAUGCUUUAUUUCUGACUAGCAUGAUAUAUUGCAUGUAAUUCUAUUAUAUGUUCACUGUUUUAAUUUGUUGUUGUGAUGUGUGGUAAAUCAUACCUUUUCUCUGUGUGUGGUUCUGAGUUGAAAUAGUGGAUUGAGGACAAGUGACCUGGACUUGUACAAGUGCUUAUCGUGUAAUUGUGUUCUGGUGCUGACGUGCUGUUGUAGAUUUAGUAAGGUUAUUACUUGUCAGCGUUUACUAUUUAAUGUCAACAUCCCUGGUGUAGAUUAACCUGAUUGGGAAAAGAUUAUUCUGAACUUCCAUACUAGAAAAAUGUUUCUUGGUCUGCUAAUCGCUUCAAUUGUUGCAACUUAGUAUCUUGUCAGUAAAGGUAGCUUGCUGACAUCACUGGCUUUGUUAUUUCGUCUCUUCUAAUGUAUUUACUAUGAUAUGCACCAACUACUUGAUAUUUUAUCGUGCUGUAUGCUCUGGGGAGGUUGUUGAACUUGCUAUUUGGGAUGGAAGGGUGAUCUGAGUAUUAUUUGAAGGUUGACAUGGUAAUUGUACCAGCUACAACUGGCCAGAUGGGUGUUUUGCCAGGCCAUGUUUCCACAAUCGCAGAGCUCAAGCCUGGUGUUCUCUCGGUACACGAGGGAAACGAUGUGACUAAGUACUUUGUGAGCAGU
Molecule: RNA transcript, 1909 nt
Organism: Phragmites australis (common reed)
Lineage: Eukaryota; Viridiplantae; Streptophyta; Magnoliopsida; Poales; Poaceae
Gene name: ATP synthase subunit delta', mitochondrial-like
Exons: 2
Source: RefSeq, a predicted model, not a curated record